Molecule: ribosomal RNA, 467 nt
Filed under: uncultured bacterium
Lineage: Bacteria
Description: partial 16S ribosomal RNA
Rfam family: Bacterial small subunit ribosomal RNA
Source: RNAcentral
GAUGAACGCUGGCGGCGUGCUUAACACAUGCAAGUCGAACGGAAAGGCCCAAGCUUGCUUGGGUACUCGAGUGGCGAACGGGUGAGUAACACGUGGGUGAUCUGCCCUGCACUUCGGGAUAAGCCUGGGAAACUGGGUCUAAUACCGGAUAGGACGAUGGUUUGGAUGCCAUUGUGGAAAGUUUUUUCGGUGUGGGAUGAGCUCGCGGCCUAUCAGCUUGUUGGUGGGGUAAUGGCCUACCAAGGCGUCGACGGGUAGCCGGCCUGAGAGGGUGUACGGCCACAUUGGGACUGGGAUACGGCCCAGACCCCUACGGGGGGCAGCAGGGGGGAAUAUUGCACAAUGGGCGCAAGCCUGAUGCAGCGACGCCGGGUGGGGGAUGACGGCCUUCGGGUUGGAAACCCCUUUCCCUAGGGACGGAGCGUUUUUGUGACGGUACCUGGAGAAGAAGCCCCGGCUAACUACGU